GAUGAAGAACGUAGCGAAAUGCGAUAAGUAAUGUGAAUUGCAGAAUUCAGUGAAUCAUCGAAUCUUUGAACGCACAUUGCGCCCGCCAGUAUUCUGGCGGGCAUGCCUGUUCGAGUGUCAUUACAACCCUCAGGCCCCCGGGCCUGGCGUUGGGGAUCGGCAGAAGCCCCCUGUGGGCACACGCCGUCCCUCAAAUACAGUGGCGGUCCCGCCGCAGCUUCCAUUGCGUAGUAGCUAACACCUCGCAACUGGAGAGCGGCGCGGCCAUGCCGUAAAACACCCAACUUCUGAAUGUUGACCUCGAAUCAGGUAGGAAUACCCGCUGAACUUAAGCAUAUCAAUAAGCGGAGGA
RNAcentral lists this unclassified non-coding RNA (352 nucleotides) under soil metagenome. RNAcentral describes it as "partial contains 5.8S ribosomal RNA, internal transcribed spacer 2, and large subunit ribosomal RNA". The stretch from base 1 to 120 matches the Rfam family "5.8S ribosomal RNA", at positions 35 to 154 of the family's 154-position model. The record is from RNAcentral.